UACAAGAGUUUCGUCUAAAAACGCCGC
This 27-nucleotide non-coding RNA is filed under the name Bombyx mori (domestic silkworm). RNAcentral also lists the same sequence under 1 other name. Lineage: Eukaryota; Metazoa; Arthropoda; Insecta; Lepidoptera; Bombycidae. The record is from RNAcentral.